RNAcentral lists this long non-coding RNA (242 nucleotides) under Brachypodium distachyon (stiff brome). RNAcentral describes it as "long non-coding RNA (BDIS_LNC005927)". Lineage: Eukaryota; Viridiplantae; Streptophyta; Magnoliopsida; Poales; Poaceae. The record is from RNAcentral.
GGGAUUCCUAUUUCCUUCUUCUUCUUCCUCAAGAAUACAGCUCUAGGAGCAUCUCUGUAAUCGGUGUUAUCCCGGAAAAUCCAUACAAGCAGGAGUAGGAGCCUUACCUCUGCAAGAGGGCUCCGAACCUGGGUAGAUCCGCGUGUCCGAGCGUGUUUUCGUGCGUGUUCUUCACGUUUCUUCCUCCUCCAGAUCCAUCAGCGUCCAUCAGCCCCAACUCAAGCCAUCCUAUGGCAUUUGCC